This is a long non-coding RNA of Callithrix jacchus (white-tufted-ear marmoset), 1123 nucleotides long. RefSeq lists it as uncharacterized. The record is from RefSeq and is a predicted model, not a curated record. Lineage: Eukaryota; Metazoa; Chordata; Mammalia; Primates; Cebidae.
GCAAGUGAAUCAGCAUCAGCUAUUUCAGGAGAAUUUGUAGGGAGCCCAGAAAGUCUCUCAUGGGGAUGAAAUUAUCUUCAGGCUAUUUUGCCUUUCUUUCACUAUGCAAACUCUUUUACCUCAACUCAGUGGUCCUCAAGUUAGACAUAGUCAAGGAGAUAGAAUGUAUCCUAUUCCAUCCUAUGAAGGUCCACAUAACGAAAUGAGACGAUCACCUCCAUAUGUAGAGACUAGAAACCCAUGCCCUUAUUCAGAAGAUGGAAGCCCAUGGCUAGAAUCUACUAAUUGGGACGUGGGUGUCCCGUCUGGAUCACCACAUCAGACUGAAGAGCAAGAAGAGGAGGAGAAAGUCUGCUUGUGCUCUAGUUCCUGGAAAUGUUCCAUUUAAAUUCCAAUAUUUCUUUCCCUUCUUCUCCAAAUAUCAGUUCUACCUGUAGUUAUUUUUCUUUUGUUUUCCCUGCACCAAAAGAACUGUUCCAAAAUGAAAUAUGUUGAAGACAGAAAUUUAUCGUUCUCUCUAAUGAGUCUGUUCAAAGUGGAACUUCUGAGAUUGUAAGGAAAUGGUUCAAAAUUGCUAGUUGGGCCUCCUCCCCACCUAUGAAUACAUAUUUUUUUUUAAAAGCCAAAGAACUUUAAGCUUUGAUUUUCUAAGGAGUUAAGGAGAAUUGACGAAGACAACCCAGAAGAAAGUCCUCCUCUCUGACAAGAAUGAGAAGCCUAGAAUGGAUAAUAAUACUAACUUCUAAAAAUUUGUUUGGAAUGCAUAUACCUUUCCUUGUUGUUCUUGAAUGAAGAUGUCAGCAUAGAACGUUGUGAUUGGAUUUAACCAAGUAGGGAAGGUCUGUUAUCUACCAAAAAAUUUAAAUUAAACGUGGAAAAUAUUUUUGGGUUUUUGUCUUUGAGAAGGACCCCAGAUUCAGUCAGUAGAGCGGGAGAUGGCUGGACUUCAAGGAGACAUCUGGACUUUAGGGAAGAGAUGGCCAGACUUCAGGGAAGAGACAGCCAGACUAUGGAAGAGAUGACCUGACUUUAAGGGAAGAUGACCUGCUCAUCCUGUCCCCUCUCCAGCUGCCCUCUCUGCUAAGAGACAUUUCCAUUGAUUAAUAAAACUCAUUUGUCUGCA